UAAGUUUCAAGAUGAUAUCUAAGGAUGCUUUCAUGAAAUAUAUAUGGUUGUUUGUUGAAAAUCAUGAACUUUGCAUGGUUUAAUAUAAUGUAAGUAUAAAAUCCACCUAUGCCUUAAAGAAUGCAUGUAAGGUGUUUGAUAAAAUGCCUAGGAUGCCAGAAAUUCCUAUUUAUAUGAUUACAUGAUAUUCACAUGACAAG
Molecule: long non-coding RNA, 200 nt
Filed under: Capsicum annuum
Lineage: Eukaryota; Viridiplantae; Streptophyta; Magnoliopsida; Solanales; Solanaceae
Description: long non-coding RNA (CANN_LNC020491)
Source: RNAcentral